Molecule: non-coding RNA, 26 nt
Filed under: Homo sapiens (human)
Lineage: Eukaryota; Metazoa; Chordata; Mammalia; Primates; Hominidae
Source: RNAcentral
ACCAAAGCUUCUCUAGAGACGCAGCC